CACGAGAUGGCGUUGAUUGUCGAAAUUAUUUUGAUUCUUAUCUAUCUCAUGGACAAAAUAUACACAUUUGAAUAUUCCAAGGAUGAAAUAAAAAAGUUUAAUGUUUAUCUUUAUCUUUCAUUAAUUAAGAAAUUGUUUAAUUGAGAAUGUGCGAUAGUGCAAAAGAAAAUGAUAAAUAAAAGCUAUUUUCCCAAAGACAUAUAUGUUCAAGAAAUUAAUUAUCUACUAUACAUAUGAUUUAAAACCUGUUGAUAUAUUUAAUUGGAAUGCAAUAAUUUAUUACUAUUUGAUUACUAGAACUGUAACACAUGUAUAAAAAAUAAAAAAAUUAUCCUGAUUGCUUAAUCUCUGCAAUGUAUUGUUGAAGAAAUGACACAAAAAAGAUAUGAAAUUCUUUCUAUAAUUUGGCUGGAAAAUUUUUAAAAAUCAUCCAGUAAUUUCCAGUAAUGACCAAUUUUAUAUCAAAAGAAUAUAAUUUGAGAACAAAUGAUACGUGAGAUUUCUUUUGAAAUCUUGAAAUUUUCAAAUAUCUUGAGAAUAUUACAAUUUUUGCAAUCAAGCAGAUUCUAAUACAUAAAGAGCUCUAUAAGAUUUUUAAGAUAUUUAAUAUAUUUAAAAAUUUUUACAUUAAAAUCGAUAAUGAUGAGAAACAUGCUUGGAAUAACAACUUUUAGAUACGAUCUUAAAAUUGCCGAAAUUUUGACGAGAAAAUGAAUAAUGAAGGAAUUUUCAAUAUGGCAUCUUUGAAUUUGGCGGGAAAAUGUUUCUGUCUUUCUCGUAUUAUGUUCCUUGUCUGUGACGUCACGUGGAUAAGUAUACCUUCUUGCAUAUUCUGCUAUGCUAGUAAAAAAUCGAAGCUUCCGUGAUCCAAACGCGAGAUAGCGUUAAUUAUCGAAAAAUUUAUUUGAAAACAUCAAAAGAAUAUUUUAAUAAUAACAAUCAUUUUUAGAUGUUAUUUUUACUGAAUUAUGAUAUAAUGAAUAUAAAGACUAACAAAAAAAUUGAUAAUGAUGAGAAACAUGCUUGGACUUUUGGCUGCGAUCUUAAAAAUGGCGAAAUUUUGCCGAGAAAAUGAAUAAUGAAGAAAUUUUCAAUAUGGCAUCUUUGAAUUGGCGGGAAAAUAUUUCUAUCCUUCUCGUAUUAUGUUGCGUUCCUUGUCUGUGACGUCACGUGGAUGAGUAUACCUCCUUGCAUAUUCUGCUAUGCUAGUAAAAAAUUGGAGCUUCCGUGAUCCAAACGCGAGAUGGCGUUGAUUAUCGAAAAAUUUAUUUAUUUAAAAACGUGAAAAGACUAUUUUAAUAAUAACAAUCAUUUUUAGACAUUAUUUUUACUGAAUUAUGAUAUAAUGAAUAUAAAGGCUAACAAAAAAAUUGAUAAUGAUGAGAAACAUGCUUGGACUUUUGGUUGGAAUCUUAAAAAUGGCGAAAUUUUGCCAAGAAAAUGAAUAAUGAAGGAAUUUUCAAUAUGGCAUCUUUGAAUUGGCGGGAAAAUAUUUCUAUCCUUCUCGUAUUAUGUUGCGUUCCUUGUCUGUGACGUCACGUGGAUGAGUAUACCUCCUUGCAUAUUCUGCUAUGCUAGUAAAAAAUUGGAGCUUCCGUGAUCCAAACGCGAGAUGGCGUUGAUUAUCGAAAAAUUUAUUUAUUUAAAAACGUGAAAAGACUAUUUUAAUAAUAACAAUCAUUUUUAGACAUUAUUUUUACUGAAUUAUGAUAUAAUGAAUAUAAAGGCUAACAAAAAAAUUGAUAAUGAUGAGAAACAUGCUUGGACUUUUGGUUGGAAUCUUAAAAAUGGCGAAAUUUUGCCAAGAAAAUGAAUAAUGAAGGAAUUUUCAAUAUGGCAUCUUUGAAUUGGCGGGAAAAUGUUUCUAUCCUUCUCGCACUAUAUUGCGUUCCUUGUUUGUGACGUCACGCGGAUGAAUAUACCUCCUUGCACAUUCUGCUACGCUAGUAACAAGUCGGAGCUUCUGUGAUCCAAACGCGAGAUGGCGUUGAUCGUCGAAAUUUGUUCAUUCCUUGUAUCUUAUUGAUAUAAUAUUCAGGAUUAAAGAAUUUUAAUAAGAAAUUUAAUACAGUGAAUAAAGUAUAAUUUAAAUGUUAUUUGUACAAGGAUAACUAAAAAAUAUAUUAAAUAAAAUAACAAAGAAAAAAUAUUUUUGAAGAAAUAGAUUUAUUUCAAGAAUAUAUAUAUGUUAUACAUGUAUUGAGGAUAAUUGAAAGUAUUAUGUUAUACAUAUUGUUAUGUAUAAUGUAUACAUAAGAUAUUAAAUAUGAUGAUUUGAUCGUGUUUAACUGUUAAAAUUAUCAACAAAAUAUAAAUAAAAAUCGAAGAACUGCUUUUUGUAUUUUAUGUAAUUUUAAUUUUGAAGUUCUUCGCGUUUACGUAUGUAUCUAAUCUAAUUGUUAAAUGAAUUUGAAAAUUUUAAAGAGAAGUAACUACAUUAUUUUACUCUAUAUCUUAUUCUAAUUAUAAACAUUUGUAAGUAUUAACAAACAUUUGUAUUUAUAUUAUAUUUAACAUAAUAAGUAAUGAUAAAACAAUGAGAAAAUAAUUUUGCGCUUUUUACGCUCCUGUUAAAUUUACGAUUUUUAAUCAUAUUUUAGCGCCGAUAAAUGAAAACGUUCGAUUGAAAAAAUUAUAUAGAUAUCAUACUAUAAAGACAAGAAAAUAAAGGUAUAAAAAUGGUAAGAAAAAUAAUUGUAUUUCAUUUCGGAAUCGUAACGAAUAAAGUGCUUUAACAGUAUUUAUAAAAUGUAUUUAGCUGAUGAUUUAAAUAUCGAAAGAUAAAAUAAAAAGGCUUCUUCAGUGCGAUAAAAAAAUAUGCAAAUAUUACGUA
Molecule: long non-coding RNA, 2833 nt
Organism: Apis cerana (Asiatic honeybee)
Lineage: Eukaryota; Metazoa; Arthropoda; Insecta; Hymenoptera; Apidae
Source: RefSeq, a predicted model, not a curated record